Molecule: non-coding RNA, 73 nt
Organism: Mesocricetus auratus (golden hamster)
Lineage: Eukaryota; Metazoa; Chordata; Mammalia; Rodentia; Cricetidae
Source: Rfam
GCCCAGCUAGCUCAGUUGUUAGAGCAUGGGACUUUCAAUCCCAGGGUUGUGGGUUUGAGUCCCACAUUGGGCA